UGGGGAAUAUUGCACAAUGGGCGCAAGCCUGAUGCAGCCAUGCCGCGUGUAUGAAGAAGGCCUUCGGGUUGUAAAGUACUUUCAGCGAGGAGGAAGGCGGUAAGGUUAAUAACCUUAUCGAUUGACGUUACUCGCAGAAGAAGCACCGGCUAACUCCGUGCCAGCAGCCGCGGUAAUACGGAGGGUGCAAGCGUUAAUCGGAAUUACUGGGCGUAAAGCGCACGCAGGCGGUCUGUCAAGUCGGAUGUGAAAUCCCCGGGCUCAACCUGGGAACCGCAUUCGAAACUGGCAGGCUAGAGUCUUGUAGAGGGGGGUAGAAUUCCAGGUGUAGCGGUGAAAUGCGUAGAGAUCUGGAGGAAUACCGGUGGCGAAGGCGGCCCCCUGGACAAAGACUGACGCUCAGGUGCGAAAGCGUGGGGAGCAAACA
This 427-nucleotide ribosomal RNA is filed under the name uncultured bacterium. RNAcentral describes it as "partial 16S ribosomal RNA". It matches the Rfam family "Bacterial small subunit ribosomal RNA", at positions 355 to 774 of the family's 1533-position model. The record is from RNAcentral.